GAGGACUUUGAAAUACACGAUACGAGGUCAAAUGUGCCUUCAGAGUUGCAGUUUCUGAGACUUGGGGAGCGAACGCGGUCCAAAUGAUGACCGUGACACUGUCAGACCAGAUCGAGUCCGCCGCCAAACUCCGCUUCUGGUUUUCCAAACGACACCUGCUCACCGACAAAUUCAAUUAAGGACUCCUCUUCCCACUUGGAGCCGGUCUCCAGGGCAGAUCUUCCGGGCGACUCACUCUCAGAGAAAUUAAAAAUUUUGCUCAAAUUAACCAGAAAAACUGAAAAAAAAAAAAUGUGCUAACUUUAGUAAUGAACGCUCUGCUCCGUCCACCGCAAACACCCGCGUCUCUUUACUUGGAAGCGACGGGGAAGUAGCGCAGAUCAUUCAUGGAAAGCCAUCUUCCAUAUUAAAAAUGCCACUGACGCUACAAGACGAGGUAAACAUCCACGUAUUGUUUCUCCUUUUCACGGCUUUUGUUUCCCUCAUUGAUCUUUUUUUAUUAUUAUUUUCAUCACACAAAUCCGUCUUUGAUUUGGUAAUUGACUAACGU
RNAcentral lists this long non-coding RNA (550 nucleotides) under Takifugu rubripes (torafugu). RNAcentral describes it as "lncRNA (ENSTRUG00000029827.1)". Lineage: Eukaryota; Metazoa; Chordata; Actinopteri; Tetraodontiformes; Tetraodontidae. The record is from RNAcentral.